This 406-nucleotide ribosomal RNA is filed under the name uncultured bacterium. Its description in RNAcentral is "partial 16S ribosomal RNA". It matches the Rfam family "Bacterial small subunit ribosomal RNA", at positions 29 to 526 of the family's 1533-position model. The record is from RNAcentral.
AUUGAACGCUGGCGGCAGGCCUAACACAUGCAAGUCGAGCGAGCGGCGGACGGGUGAGUAAUGUAUGGGGAUCUGCCUGCUAUAGGGGGAUAACUACUGGCAACGUUGGCUACUCCCGCAUACUAUCGGAUGAACCAAUAUGGGAUUAGCUAGUCGGUGGGGUAAAGGCUCACCUGGGCGACGAUGUCUAGCUGGUCUGAGAGGAUGAUCAGCCACACUGGGACUGAGACACGUCCAAGACUCCUACGGGAGGCAGCAGUAGGGAAUAUUGCGCAAUGGACGAAAGCCUGAGGCAGCCAGGCCGCGUGAGUGAAGAAGGGCGUAGGGUAGGAAAGGACUGUCGGCAGGGAGGCGUUACCCGAAGAGGAAGCACCGGCUAACUCCGUGCCAGCCGCCGCGGUAAUAC